GCGGCGAACCUCGCCUGCGGACCUCGCCGCGGCCCGGGAGUUCCAGGCGCGCCUCCGCGUCUCUGCCUCCAGGGACUCCCCCAGGAGAGACCCGCGCGAGCCCGGGCGCGAGGAAGUCGCGGCAGGCAUGGAAGACGGGUUUCCCGGCCCUUUUGUCUGCGGGAACUCACUCGCCUUUGGGUGAGAAGGAGGCGACGCCCACCGCAGAGGGCCGACCCGUGUCAGAGGUUCCGCGCUCGCCAAAGCCGGACUUCAGAUCUGAGUGGCGGCGGGGCCCGGCGCCUGUGGGAUCCACGCUCCAUCUGGCCUGGUGCCUACACCAUCAUUCCUGGAGAAGCUGUCAACUCUGACAAAUGAAGGAAAGUGGAAGCCAGGAAAGCUGCACCUGCAAAAACUGUCGGAAUUCCAGGGCCAGCCCCGCCCAUCUGUUCUUUAGGAGUACUGUGCUUGGACCCUGCUUGAUUGUUUGAGAUCUAGCAGUUGAAUUAUCUGAAAGUAAGCUCCAGAAAUGGAAAUUCACGCCCAGUAUCUUGCACAAACGUUUUAAUAUCCAAGUGUCCUGGAUCCAGACAAGAGGCAAGGGUCCUUCCAGCCGAAGACAUAGCAGAUCCUGUAGAGGCUGAAAAACCUUCUGUUGUGGGUAAAAAGCAAUAAUUUAGACAACGCAGAGAAAAUUCCUAGCUAGAAGUAAAUUUUUUAAAAAGGUUCCAAGCGAAGUCAGAAAAUGUAUAUUUUACAAAAUCCUUUGAACGUUGUUUGACAGUAAAUGUGUUUUUCUAGUUAUGCUUGUUGAUCUGAAUUUCUCAGUGACCCUUUGCAUGUGUAAAUCGUGAGAUUCGUUCUCAGCAAAGAUGACGGAUGGAUCUUUUAGGAAUCCACGCUUUAGAGUUGAUUUUCUGGGUUGGCCGUGGAAGCUGCUACACUUUAGAUGCUUUAUGGGAUGGUUGUCAAGAGAACCUUGGGUAAAAUUUCUCAGGAGUGUCUCUAAACACAUUAUUCAUAAUUAAAAAGUGAUUCAUAGAAAUCACCAGAAAAAUUAUGGCACGUUAUGUUCCAGCAUGUUUUUAGGCCAUGUGGAAUAAAUAAAAUCAUUAAGGUCUGCGUGGGUAAUACCGCCUCCCAGCCUUCCUCUGACUGUGCCAGCAGGACCUGCUGUAGCUUCAUAGAUGUGACAGCAGCCUGGGGGCCAUGAGCCAGAGGACGUAGGAUUUUUCUCCAGGUAGUUUUCUGUUUUGAUCAUGCAAAACCAUCCCUUUUAAGACUCCUGAAUGAUAUAGUCCAUGAGGUGGGUAAAGUAACACUAAAAGGCACAUCUUUAAAAACCUUAGGGUUUUUUUUUUUUGGGGAAAACAAAAAUUGUGGAAACCCCACAAGAGAGAGUCCAAAAGAUAGAAGAACCCAUGGGAGCAUAGGCCCACCUGGUUAGAGGCCAACUGAUGUUCAGUAGGUCUUCUGGCACCUUGGUGAAAUUCCCAAGACCAACACCUGCCACCAAACUUUGCUCUGCAGGGAAAAGCAAUACACUGUGGCCCCAGGGUUUUUGCAAUACAAAGCCCUUCAGCUGGUAGUUAUGGGGGGACCACCGCUGCUUCCUCUUCCUGGUAGAGAAGUAGGGCAGGGCUUAUCAAGGCUUUUUAGAGGCCUGUACUGGUUAAUGGAACUUCUGAAGCCAUUGGAUUUACAGUCUAACUUUCCUUAGGCAUUGGUGGACUAUGACAAUAUGUCAGUUGCUAAUAUUUAUGUGGGAAAUUGCCGUUUAC
Hipposideros armiger (great roundleaf bat) is the source of this 1760-nucleotide long non-coding RNA. RefSeq lists it as uncharacterized. The transcript is spliced from 3 exons. Lineage: Eukaryota; Metazoa; Chordata; Mammalia; Chiroptera; Hipposideridae. The record is from RefSeq and is a predicted model, not a curated record.